This 254-nucleotide ribosomal RNA is filed under the name uncultured bacterium. RNAcentral's name for it is "partial 16S ribosomal RNA". It matches the Rfam family "Bacterial small subunit ribosomal RNA", at positions 102 to 353 of the family's 1533-position model. The record is from RNAcentral.
ACGGGUGAGUAAUGUCGUAGGGAAACUGCCUGAUGGGAGGGGGAUAACUACUAGGAAACGGUAGCUAAUACCGCAUAACGUCGCAAGACCAAAGAGGGGGACCUUCGGGCCUCUUGCCAUCAGAUGUGCCCAGAUGGGAUUAGCUAGUAGGUGGGGUAACGGCUCACCUAGGCGACGAUCCCUAGCUGGUCUGAGAGGAUGACCAGCCACACUGGAACUGAGACACGGUCCAGACUCCUACGGGAGGCAGCAUG